GACGAACGCUGGCGGCGUGCUUAACACAUGCAAGUCGAACGGAAAGGCUCCAGCUUGCUGGAGUACUCGAGUGGCGAACGGGUGAGUAACACGUGGGUAAUCUGCCCUGCACUCUGGGAUAAGCCUGGGAAACUGGGUCUAAUACUGGAUAUGACCUUUCUCCUUAUGGGGUUUGGUGGAAAGUUUUUCGGUGUAGGAUGAGCCCGCGGCCUAUCAGCUUGUUGGUGGGGUGAUGGCCUACCAAGGCGACGACGGGUAGCCGGCCUGAGAGGGUGAUCGGCCACAUUGGGACUGAGAUACGGCCCAGACUCCUACGGGAGGCAGCGGUGGGGAAUAUUGCACAAUGGGCGGAAGCCUGAUGCAGCGACGCCGCGUGAGGGAUGACGGCCUUCGGGUUGUAAACCUCUUUCAGCAGGGACGAAGCGUAAGUGACGGUACCUGCAGAAGAAGCACCGGCUAACUACGUG
This 467-nucleotide ribosomal RNA is filed under the name uncultured bacterium. Its description in RNAcentral is "partial 16S ribosomal RNA". It matches the Rfam family "Bacterial small subunit ribosomal RNA", at positions 28 to 507 of the family's 1533-position model. The record is from RNAcentral.